UCAUGAAAGCCGGCUGUACCCGAAGUCCGUGAGCAAACCGCAAGGAUGCAGCGGCCGAAGGUAUGGCUGGUGACUGGGAUG
This 81-nucleotide ribosomal RNA is filed under the name uncultured bacterium. RNAcentral's name for it is "partial 16S ribosomal RNA". The record is from RNAcentral.